RNAcentral lists this non-coding RNA (26 nucleotides) under Mus musculus (house mouse). The record is from RNAcentral. Lineage: Eukaryota; Metazoa; Chordata; Mammalia; Rodentia; Muridae.
ACACUAAGGACAAGGAAGACUAUGAC